UGAUCUGCCUGUAGGUGAGGAAUACCGGCGAGAAAUCGCUGACAAGUCCGCAUAGGAUUGGCAACAAUCAAAGCUUCUCUUCAUGAGAGGUGCCUACAGAGGAGCCCGCGUCCGAUUAGUUGGUUGGUGGGGUAAUGGCCUACCAAGACGACGAUCGGUAGCUGGUCUGAGAGGAUGAUCAGUCACACUGGGAUUGAGAACGGCCCAG
This 208-nucleotide ribosomal RNA is filed under the name uncultured bacterium. Its description in RNAcentral is "partial 16S ribosomal RNA". It matches the Rfam family "Bacterial small subunit ribosomal RNA", at positions 122 to 334 of the family's 1533-position model. The record is from RNAcentral.